UACAGAGGGUGCAAGCGUUAAUCGGAAUUACUGGGCGUAAAGCGCGCGUAGUCGGUUAUUUAAGUCGGAUGUGAAAUCCCCGGGCUCAACCUGGGAAUUGCAUUCGAUACUGGAUAGCUAGAGUUCGGCAGAGGGAAGCGGAAUUUCGGGUGUAGCGGUGAAAUGCGUAGAUAUCCGAAGGAACAUCAGUGGCGAAAGCGGCUUCCUGGACCAGAACUGACGAUCAGGCUCGAAAGCGUGGGGAGCAAACAGG
This 253-nucleotide ribosomal RNA is filed under the name uncultured bacterium. Its description in RNAcentral is "partial 16S ribosomal RNA". It matches the Rfam family "Bacterial small subunit ribosomal RNA", at positions 524 to 776 of the family's 1533-position model. The record is from RNAcentral.